Picea glauca (white spruce) is the source of this 46-nucleotide non-coding RNA. The record is from Rfam. NCBI's taxonomy places the organism in Eukaryota, Viridiplantae, Streptophyta, Pinopsida, Pinales, Pinaceae.
GUAACGGUGUCUUUAGACGCCACCUUCUAUCUUAGAAAAAAUAUUU